GUCCGCACCGCGAUUCACACCCGUCAGUGAACGCGGUCCGCGAUGGUGCGGAAGAGCAACACUCCGAUCUCUGUCGAUACCAAGAUCUGCCAUGCCCUCUGGAGAUGGACCAGGAGAGGUCAACGCCAGGCGUGUAGUGGGCUCCAUUGGACCUUAUCAGCACUAGAAUGUUACGUAACACACUCUGUGCUCAACUUUCAAGACCUGGCUGGACUCUCACCACUUGUGUUAUGAAUAGUUCCAUCCCUCUUGAGAUUGUUGACACAAGAACCAAUGAUGGCUCUGCGUGGUAGAUCUAUUUCUGUGAGAGCAGUUUACUUGUUGUUCUACACACAGAUAAAGACAACCUGUAGAAUGUACGACGCUGAAUCUGUAUCCAUCGGAAGAUAACUGGAGUUUUGCACUUCGGGAUUUGCCUCAAGACUGAAUAAUUUUUAUGUACUUUCUCGUCCUAUCUGCCAUAUUUCCAAUCAUAUUAAUAUAGGUAACAAAAUGCCCUAGUGCCUGAAGGAGCCGUUCAGACUAAGGUUAAUUUGAAGGUUUAUACGUAUUUGAUGACCUUAAAUAUCCUACUUAAUCAACAACAGUCGUCUUAAAAUCACAAUCUUCGAGAGAGACAUUUUAUUAUUCAUUUGGAGUAUAAACGGCUAUUCUAUACAUAAAAUAGCUUACAUCCGCCAGCAGGAAGCGUACUGGAGUUUCUCCAUAUCACCGAAAAUCGUUCUCCUCUGUGGAGUGUAUGUUUUGCAACACCAGACUUUGAAUAGAGUAAGGAUCGAGAAAAGCAAUGGCAAGAGGCACAGUCACACAAUCACUCACUUGUAAGAACUCCAACAGCUUGUGCUCCUAGUGACCAACUAUUUAGUUCAAUCGUAUGACUGAGAACUGUGCAUGCAACCGAUCACAUUGCAGAGGACUGCAACCGCUGCAAGCAUUUACGGACCGGGGAGUUCACAGGAUCAAGUCCUGCACUUCUCCAUCUAACAACAAAGAACACUGACUGAUGUGCAUAAACUUUAUCUAUUUAUUUUUGUAUCGUUUUAAACUUAUUUCAAUAUUUCUGUAAACAUUCACUUGAGAGUAAAUUAUAUGUUGCUUACACCA
Schistocerca serialis cubense is the source of this 1104-nucleotide long non-coding RNA. RefSeq lists it as uncharacterized. Lineage: Eukaryota; Metazoa; Arthropoda; Insecta; Orthoptera; Acrididae. The record is from RefSeq and is a predicted model, not a curated record. The transcript has 2 exons.